RNAcentral lists this ribosomal RNA (373 nucleotides) under uncultured bacterium. RNAcentral's name for it is "bacterial SSU rRNA". It matches the Rfam family "Bacterial small subunit ribosomal RNA", at positions 29 to 430 of the family's 1533-position model. The record is from RNAcentral.
AACGAACGCUGGCGGCAGGCCUAAAACAUGCAAGUCGAGCGGGCAUAGCAAUAUGUCAGCGGCGGACGGGUGAAUAACACGUGGGAACAUGCCCUUUGGUACGGAACAACUCAGGGAAACUUGAGCUAAUACCGUAUGUGCCGGUAACGGGAAAGAUUUAUCGCCAAAGGAUUGGCCCGCGUCCGAUUAGCUAGUUGGUGAGGUAACGGCUCACCAAGGCGACGAUCGGUAGCUGGUUUGAGAGAACGAUCAGCCACACUGGGACUGAGACACGGCCCAGACUCCUACGGGAGGCAGCAGUUGGGAAUCUUGGACAAUGGGGAAACCCUGAUCCAGCCAUGCCGCGUGAGCGAUGAAGGCCUUGGUUGUAAGU